CAGCAGCCGCGGGAAUACGUAGGGUGCAAGCGUUAUCCGGAAUUAUUGGGCGUAAAGAGCUCGUAGGCGGUUUGUCGCGUCUGCUGUGAAAACUGGGGGCUCAACCCCCAGCCUGCAGUGGGUACGGGCAGACUAGAGUGCGGUAGGGGAGAUUGGAAUUCCUGGUGUAGCGGUGGAAUGCGCAGAUAUCAGGAGGAACACCGAUGGCGAAGGCAGAUCUCUGGGCCGUAACUGACGCUGAGGAGCGAAAGCAUGGGGAGCGAACAGGAUUAGAGACCCGGUAGUCCCUGUCUCUUAUACC
RNAcentral lists this ribosomal RNA (301 nucleotides) under uncultured bacterium. RNAcentral describes it as "partial 16S ribosomal RNA". It matches the Rfam family "Bacterial small subunit ribosomal RNA", at positions 509 to 808 of the family's 1533-position model. The record is from RNAcentral.